Pelobates cultripes (western spadefoot toad) is the source of this 523-nucleotide non-coding RNA. Lineage: Eukaryota; Metazoa; Chordata; Amphibia; Anura; Pelobatidae. The record is from the annotation of a GenBank genome assembly.
AGGAUAUCAGAAAUCAGCACGCCAGCAAAUGACAAAACAACUGGAUCAAGCCCAACUGUAUGACGGCUGGCACACUUCCCACCCAACUGAUAAAGACUAUUCAUAUUAUUCACACGUAUCUCACGUAUAUUCCAGACUGGACAUGUUCUUUGUCCCACAUAGAUUCCUACACCUUAUCCAAACCAGCAGCUACGGCUCAAUAACAUGGUCAGACCACGCACCCCUAUCCCUAGACAUACAAAUCCCCACUCUACCACACAAAUCAUUCCAAUGGAAACUAAAUGAUCUUCUCCUAAAUAAUCCAGAGGUAGUUUCCCACAUAACAUAAUCCCUCCAUACCUACUUCGCUACAAACACAACUCCCGAUAGCCCCCCCCCCGAUUACAUGGGAGGCACACAAAUGUGUAAUGAGGGGAGAGCUGAUCGCGCUGGCGUACAGACAAAAGAAAUUAAGAGAAGCUGACCUCCAAACCCUUCAAAGAGAAAUUAGAGACCAUGAAAAUAAACACAAACAGGACACGAG